RNAcentral lists this ribosomal RNA (819 nucleotides) under uncultured Bacteroidota bacterium. RNAcentral describes it as "bacterial SSU rRNA". It matches the Rfam family "Bacterial small subunit ribosomal RNA", at positions 28 to 845 of the family's 1533-position model. Lineage: Bacteria; Pseudomonadati; Bacteroidota. The record is from RNAcentral.
GAUGAACGCUAGCGGCAGGCCUAAUACAUGCAAGUCGAGGGGCAGCACAGGUAGCAAUACUGGGUGGCGACCGGCAAACGGGUGCGGAACACGUACGCAACCUUCCUUUAAGUGGGGCAUAGCCCAGAGAAAUUUGGAUUAAUACCCCGUAAUAUCAUUGAGAGGCAUCUUUUGAUGAUUAAAGCUGAGGCGCUUAAAGAUGGGCGUGCGUCUGAUUAGGUAGUUGGUGAGGUAACGGCUCACCAAGCCGACGAUCAGUAACUGGCGUGAGAGCGCGACCAGUCACACGGGCACUGAGACACGGGCCCGACUCCUACGGGAGGCAGCAGUAAGGAAUAUUGGUCAAUGGGCGCAAGUCUGAACCAGCCAUGCCGCGUGGAGGAUGAAGGUCCUCUGAAUUGUAAACUUCUUUUAUCUGGGAAGAAAUGUAUUUUUUCUAAAGUACUUGACGGUACCAGAUGAAUAAGCACCGGCUAACUCCGUGCCAGCAGCCGCGGUAAUACGGAGGGUGCAAGCGUUAUCCGGAUUCACUGGGUUUAAAGGGUGCGUAGGCGGAUUAUUAAGUCCGUGGUGAAAUCUCCGAGCUUAACUCGGAAACUGCCAUGGAUACUAUUAGUCUUGAAUGUUGUGGAGGUUUGCGGAAUAUGUCAUGUAGCGGUGAAAUGCUUAGAUAUGACAUAGAACACCGAUUGCGAAGGCAGCAGGCUACACAAAUAUUGACGCUGAGGCACGAAAGCGUGGGGAUCAAACAGGAUUAGAUACCCUGGUGGUCCACGCCCUAAACGAUGAUUACUCGACAUUUGCGAUACACAGCAAGUG